UCCUGGCAGCGUGUGUGCUGAGUUGGAAGGGCUGCAGAAGUGGGUCACGCUCACCCAACUGGAACUCGAAAGACUCAUAGAGAGCAAGCACUGGACAAUGGCCUGGUGUCCAUGAUGUAUCCCUGCCUGUCGUUACUAAUCCUACUCAGGGCCAAGCUGGAGAGAAACAGGACAUUCCGUUGGGCUAGAGAGGGAGAACCACUCAGCUGGCUUAAUGAAAGACACGGGUGUGGGACUUUGUCAGCAGAUGCAAGCCUGGAGCCACCACACAGCAGAGAGGAGUAGGAAACCAGAGUAUGGAAGCCCCUUCCUCUCCUGCACCAAAUCACUCACAGCACCAUGAUGGGCAGCAGUAGAAGGAUUAGAAACCACACCGCCCUGAUAGGAGUUGAACUUUUCUUCAACUGGCUCUUAAGCUGACAUGAGAUUGCGCUAGUUGGAAGAUACCAAGAUACUCUUAAAAGAGAAGAUGAAGUUCUCAUGUUUCAACCCCUAUUACUAUUGACUGUCAACUUCCCAAAAGACCCCAGAAAAACAUGUUAAUGGAACAAAACUAAGUUUAUUAGAUUUACUGUAGUAUAAGAGAAAACCACCUUGGUAGAGUCUUGAUAGUGCCUCAGGUUGACAAAGUCAGGGUCUGCACUGGGGGACUUCUAAGGUAGCUUUUGCAAGGUGGGGAGUAGCUUGGGACUGGGCAGGGUUUCUACCCUAACAAUUCUCAAUUGGUAAGCCCCGCAAGGCCAAGGAUCCUGAAGCAAAUCUAGAUAAGAAAGAUACUGGAUUUUAUAAGCUAGCUAUUUUAGUGGAUUUACUGCCUCAUUUUUGGUAAGCAAGUCUUCCUGAAGCAAGCAGAGUCCUUUCAGCCACAAGUCUUAAUAGUUUGUGUGAGUGUUAAUCUGCUUCUCAUAGAGUCACCAUGAAACACACCUUAGACAGAAUAAUACAAAGCUUUAACGAAGACCGCAGAAGAACUUCAUAUCUGAGUACCAUUUGCAAUCGAUUUACAAAUAAUGCCAGCAUCCUUAGCGACUUCUUCAGGCAAGGUUAUACUGGGGGUUUUUGAGGCUAAGCAGGUGAACUGGGAGUACCGCACACAGCAUGGCUUCCAGCCUGAAGUGACUGUAAAAUGCCAGUGAAUAGAGAGGCUCAAGGCUGAGUAAAGGAUCCUGCACACUCAACAGGCUCAUCCUUCUCUGCACCCGAGUUGUUCAUAGAGUCCCAGUUACAGAGCUUUCAGAAGGCGGAAUUCGUCCACAGCACACUAUUGAUGCCUAUCGAAUCUAAGGAAAUUAACUAAGAAGGGAAGAAAUAAUCUUCAUAGAAAAGGGAUUUGAGAACCCAGAAGAGGGUAUGGGCCUGGCAGUGUGCAUGCUGCAAACUAUGCACCAUCACUGGCCUAAAACGCACCUCUGUGUGCAUCAUUUACUCACGUUUAAAAAUCACCCUCUACUUGUUCUCCUGUGACCCUCAUUGGACUAUAUCCAGACAGCACUGAAAGUGAUAGCCAGAAAAAGUAGAAACAACCCAUGUGUUCAUCCACUGACGAAUGGAUCAAAACAUGUGGCGUGUCCAUCCAUACAAGGGGAUAUUACCCAGCAGUCAAAAGGAGCAAAGAACUGAUGUAUACCACACCAUGGCUGAUUCUCAACAGUAUGUUCAGUGAAAGAAACCAGUCACAAAAGCACAUGUACUGUAUGUCUAUUUAUAUGAACUGCUUGGAGGAGGCACCUAGUGGUUGCCAGGGGCUUGGGGUGGGGGUGGAGGGCAGGAAUGGGGAAUGCCUGCCCCCUCCAUGGGGUUUCUUUGUGGGGUGAUUAAAAUGUUCUAAAAUUG
Molecule: long non-coding RNA, 1833 nt
Filed under: Homo sapiens (human)
Lineage: Eukaryota; Metazoa; Chordata; Mammalia; Primates; Hominidae
Description: long non-coding RNA NONHSAT189454.1
Source: RNAcentral